GAUCUCAGAUCAGACGAGAUGACCCGCUGAA
RNAcentral lists this ribosomal RNA (31 nucleotides) under Nesticus carteri. Its description in RNAcentral is "partial 28S ribosomal RNA". The record is from RNAcentral. Lineage: Eukaryota; Metazoa; Arthropoda; Arachnida; Araneae; Nesticidae.